CCAUGGGCAGGUUGAAGGUUGGGUAACACUAACUGGAGGACCGAACCGACUAAUGUUGAAAAAUUAGCGGAUGACCUGUGGCUGGGGGUGAAAGGCCAAUCAAACCGGGAGAUAGCUGGUUCUCCCCGAAAGCUAUUUAGGUAGCGCCUCGUGAAUUCAUCUCCGGGGGUAGAGCACUGUUUCGGCUAGGGGGCCAUCCCGGCUUACCAACCCGAUGCAAACUGCGAAUACCGGAGAAUGUUAUCACGGGAGACACACGGCGGGUGCUAACGUCCGUCGUGAAGAGGGAAACAACCCAGACCGCCAGCUAAGGUCCCAAAGUCAUGGUUAAGUGGGAAACGAUGUGGGAAGGCCCAGACAGCCAGGAUGUUGGCUUAGAAGCAGCCAUCAUUUAAAGAAAGCGUAAUAGCUCACUGGUCGAGUCGGCCUGCGCGGAAGAUGUAACGGGGCUAAACCAUGCACCGAAGCUGCGGCAGCGAACGUAUCACUUAAAGCGAUUCAGCGGGUUACGAUUGACGGAGCGAAGCGACGUCAAAGCGUAUACAAAGUCGAGUCGGUUUAAGGAUACGUUCGUUGGGUAGGGGAGCGUUCUGUAAGCCUG
This 601-nucleotide ribosomal RNA is filed under the name Salmonella enterica subsp. enterica serovar Agona. RNAcentral's name for it is "partial 23S ribosomal RNA". It matches the Rfam family "Bacterial large subunit ribosomal RNA", at positions 734 to 1251 of the family's 2925-position model. Lineage: Bacteria; Pseudomonadati; Pseudomonadota; Gammaproteobacteria; Enterobacterales; Enterobacteriaceae. The record is from RNAcentral.